GAUGAACGCUGGCGGCGUGCUUAACACAUGCAAGUCGAACGGUGAACACGGAGCUUGCUCUGUGGGAUCAGUGGCGAACGGGUGAGUAACACGUGAGCAACCUGCCCCUGACUCUGGGAUAAGCGCUGGAAACGGCGUCUAAUACUGGAUAUGUGACGUGACCGCAUGGUCUGCGUUUGGAAAGAUUUUUCGGUUGGGGAUGGGCUCGCGGCCUAUCAGCUUGUUGGUGAGGUAAUGGCUCACCAAGGCGUCGACGGGUAGCCGGCCUGAGAGGGUGACCGGCCACACUGGGAUUGAGACACGGCCCAGACUCCUACGGGAGGCAGCAGUGGGGAAUAGUGCACAAUGGGCGAAAGCCUGAUGCAGCAACGCCGCGUGAGGGAUGACGGCCUUCGGGUUGUAAACCUUUUUUAGCAGGGAAGAAGCGAAAGUGACGGUACCUGCAGAAAAAGCGCCGGCUAACUACGUG
RNAcentral lists this ribosomal RNA (469 nucleotides) under uncultured bacterium. RNAcentral describes it as "partial 16S ribosomal RNA". It matches the Rfam family "Bacterial small subunit ribosomal RNA", at positions 28 to 507 of the family's 1533-position model. The record is from RNAcentral.